GGGGAAUCUUAGACAAUGGGGGAAACCCUGAUCUAGCCAUGCCGCGUGAGCGAUGAAGGCCUUAGGGUUGUAAAGCUCUUUCAGUGGGGAAGAUAAUGACUGUACCCACAGAAGAAGCCCCGGCUAACUCCGUGCCAGCAGCCGCGGUAAUACGGAGGGGGCUAGCGUUGUUCGGAAUUACUGGGCGUAAAGCGCACGUAGGCGGAUCAGAAAGUCAGAGGUGAAAUCCCAGGGCUCAACCUUGGAACUGCCUUUGAAACUCCGGGUCUUGAGGUCGAGAGAGGUGAGUGGAAUUCCGAGUGUAGAGGUGAAAUUCGUAGAUAUUCGGAGGAACACCAGUGGCGAAGGCGGCUCACUGGCUCGAUACUGACGCUGAGGUGCGAAAGCGUGGGGAGCAAAC
This 400-nucleotide ribosomal RNA is filed under the name uncultured bacterium. Its description in RNAcentral is "bacterial SSU rRNA". It matches the Rfam family "Bacterial small subunit ribosomal RNA", at positions 356 to 773 of the family's 1533-position model. The record is from RNAcentral.